This 253-nucleotide ribosomal RNA is filed under the name uncultured bacterium. RNAcentral describes it as "partial 16S ribosomal RNA". It matches the Rfam family "Bacterial small subunit ribosomal RNA", at positions 524 to 776 of the family's 1533-position model. The record is from RNAcentral.
UACAGAGGGUGCGAGCGUUACUCGGAAUUACUGGGCGUAAAGCGCACGUAGGCGGCUUGGUAUGUCGGGUGUGAAAUCCCCGGGCUCAACCUGGGAACUGCAUUUGUGACUGCAUCGCUAGAGUACGGCAGAGGGGGAUGGAAUUCCGCGUGUAGCAGUGAAAUGCGUAGAUAUGCGGAGGAACACCGAUGGCGAAGGCAAUCCCCUGGGCCUGUACUGACGCUCAUGCACGAAAGCGUGGGGAGCAAACAGG